Molecule: ribosomal RNA, 397 nt
Filed under: uncultured bacterium
Lineage: Bacteria
Description: partial 16S ribosomal RNA
Rfam family: Bacterial small subunit ribosomal RNA
Source: RNAcentral
AUACGUAGGUGACAAGCGUUAUCCGGAUUUACUGGGCGUAAAGGGCGUGUAGGCGGUCUUGCAAGUCAGAAGUGAAAUUCCUGAGCUCAACUCGGGCGCUGCUUCUGAAACUGCAGGACUUGAGUGCUGGAGGGGAUAGCGGAAUUCCUAGUGGAGCGGUAAAAUGCGCAGAUAUUAGGAAGAACACCGGUGGCGAAGGCGGCGAUCUGGACAGUAACUGACGCUGAGGCGCUAAAGCGUGGGGAGCAAACAGGAUUAGAUUCCCUGGUAGUCCACGCCGUAAACGAUGAAUACUAGGUGUAGGGGGUAUCGACUCCCUCUGUGCCGCAGUUAACACAAUAAGUAUUCCGCCUGGGGAGUACGGCCGCAAGGUUGAAACUCAAAUGAAUUGACGGGG